This 409-nucleotide ribosomal RNA is filed under the name uncultured bacterium. RNAcentral describes it as "bacterial SSU rRNA". It matches the Rfam family "Bacterial small subunit ribosomal RNA", at positions 509 to 916 of the family's 1533-position model. The record is from RNAcentral.
CAGCAGCCGCGGUAAUUCGAAGGUCCCGAGCGUUGUUCGGAAUCACUGGGCGUAAAGGGAGCGUAGGCGGCGCGGUAAGUCAGAUGUGAAAUCCCGGGGCUCAACCCCGGAACUGCAUCCGAUACUGCCGUGCUGGAGGAUUGGAGAGGUAGCUGGAAUUCUUGGUGUAGCAGUGAAAUGCGUGGAUAUCAAGAGGAACACUCGUGGCGAAAGCGAGCUACUGGACAACUCCUGACGCUGAGGCUCGAAGGCCAGGGUAGCGAAAGGGAUUAGAUACCCCUGUAGUCCUGGCAGUAAACGGUGCACGCUUGGUGUGAGGGGAAUCGACCCCCCUUGUGCCGGAGCUAACGCGUUAAGCGUGCCGCCUGGGAAGUACGGUCGCAAGACUAAAACUCAAAGGAAUUGACGG